GACGAACGCUGGCGGUGUGCCUAAUACAUGCAAGUCGAGCGCUGAAGGUUUGUACUUGUACUAACAGGAUGAGCAGCUAACGGGUGAGUACCGCGUGGGGCAUCUGCUUUUGUGCGGGGGACAAUAUUUUGAAACGAAUGCUACUACUGCCUCAAACCUUUAACCACUAGAUUUAAGUUUGAAAGAUACAAUUGCAUAAUUCAUAGAUGAUCCCGCGUUGUAUUAGCUAGUUGGUGAGGUAAAGGCUCACCAAGGCGAUGAUACAUAGCCGACCUGAGAGGGUGAUCGGCCACAUUGGGACUGAGACACGGCCCAAACUCCUACGGGAGGCAGCAGUAGGGAAUCUUCGGCAAUGGACGAAAGUCUGACCGAGCAACGCCGCGUGAGUGAAGAAGGUUUUCGGAUCGUAAAACUCUGUUGGUAGAGAAGAACGUUGGUGAGAGUGGAAAGCUCAUCAAGUGACGGUAACUACCCAGAAAGGGACGGCUAACUACGUG
Molecule: ribosomal RNA, 497 nt
Filed under: uncultured bacterium
Lineage: Bacteria
Description: partial 16S ribosomal RNA
Rfam family: Bacterial small subunit ribosomal RNA
Source: RNAcentral